RNAcentral lists this ribosomal RNA (506 nucleotides) under uncultured Glomeromycotina. RNAcentral describes it as "SSU rRNA". It matches the Rfam family "Eukaryotic small subunit ribosomal RNA", at positions 569 to 1078 of the family's 1831-position model. Lineage: Eukaryota; Fungi; Glomeromycota. The record is from RNAcentral.
AGCAGCCGCGGUAAUUCCAGCUCCAAUAGCGUAUAUUAAAGUUGUUGCAGUUAAAAAGCUCGUAGUUGAAUUUCGGGGUCAGUAGGUUGGUCAUGCCACUGGUAUGUACUGGUCUCACUGAUUCCUCCUUCCUGAUGAACUGUAAUGCCAUUAAUUUGGUGUUGCAGGGAAUCUGGACUGUUACUUUGAAAAAUUAGAGUGUUUAAAGCAGGCUAACGCCUGAAUACAUUAGCAUGGAAUAAUGAAAUAGGACGUUCGAUCCUAUUUUGUUGGUUUCUAGGAUUGACGUAAUGAUUAAUAGGGAUAGUUGGGGGCAUUAGUAUUCAAUUGUCAGAGGUGAAAUUCUUGGAUUUAUUGAAGACUAACUACUGCGAAAGCAUUUGCCAAGGAUGUUUUCAUUAAUCAAGAACGAAAGUUAGGGGAUCGAAGACGAUCAGAUACCGUCGUAGUCUUAACCAUAAACUAUGCCGACUAGGGAUCGGAUGAUGUUAAUUUUUAAUGACUCU